UAAGCAAGAGCUGGGUGGGUAAAGUUUAUACAAGCUCCAGAUACUGGUCCACUGUUGAGAUACAUCGAAUAGAAAACUUUCAAGAUGGUUGCCAAAAUGAAAGUAGGAAUCACUCUGCUGCUUAUUGGAAUGUUAAUCCUUGGAUUAUCAGCCACAGACGACGACAAAGAGUCACCCUUUAUUGACGGUGAUAGGGCCAAUGCCUUUCGUCGUGUAAAAAGGGCUGCAUCGCCUUGGAUAGAAGUGCCGGAGCCAUGGCAGCCAAAUGAGCCCCCGAAGCCGUGGAUAUAGCACCGAAGACAGUGAGAAAGGGAGGGUGAAAAGUUUUGAGGAAUUCGCUUUCUCAUUGCUGAAGUAGGACCGAGUUGUAAACGGUUUCGUUUGUGCUACCUAUAUGAACUUUCAACUGUUUUCUGUUUUUUUGCGCCUUAAAUAAACAUGAUAAUUGAUAUUAAAUACAUAAAUUGCUUAUUGAAUAAAUGAAUAAAAUGCUUAUUGAAUAAAAAAAUAAAUGGCUUAUUGAAUAAAUAAAUAAAAUGCUU
This is a long non-coding RNA of Patella vulgata (common limpet), 542 nucleotides long. RefSeq lists it as uncharacterized. The transcript is spliced from 3 exons. NCBI's taxonomy places the organism in Eukaryota, Metazoa, Mollusca, Gastropoda, Patellidae. The record is from RefSeq and is a predicted model, not a curated record.